CUGCAAAGUCUUUCAGCUGCUCCAGACGGAUUUCUUUCUUUUUCCAGAUUUAGACUCAGCAGCACAUUUUCCAAACCUUUUCCCAGUGAGCGAUCCAAGUGCCUCAGGGAGGAUUUACUGCUUUCACAAGUACGUCCCCCUCUUUAAAUUCAGCUAAAGGAAAUCACCUAACAGAGACCAGAACAAUGGUUUCGAUACAGAAUCCUGGUUGAUUUCUCACCUGAUUCCUUCCACAGAAAUCAGCUGUUUGAACGUCAGUGACUGAAUCGCAUUACCUUGAUGUCCGUUUGUACUCUUUUCCAGAAGACUCGGACUCAGGCCGCCGUGCGUCUCCCGCCGCCUCAGCCGUCGCUGCGCGCCGGUCAGACGCGCUGGACAUCCCGGCUGUUUGACCCACAGCGGCUCCCUGCCUCCGCCGCUGACUGACUGACUGACUGACUGAUGGACUGGCUGCACUGUGCCCGGGUUCAUUUAGGGGGCGCCAGUGUAUAAUGCGCGCAGACCGAGCGGCUCAGAUGUGGAUGGAGAGGCGAGUUGCUGGAACAGCUUGGCUGCAUCAAAUACAGAACAGAAUGACCUUUGAUUUGUGAAUCAGCAGGGAAAACUGAGAUGUUGCAGCAGCAAAGUGGGAAAUCAGUAAACCCAAUUCUGAACAAAAACGGCCAUAAAGAUGCAAAAAAAUAAUUGGAACUGCAAAGUAGAGCAACAAUGGGAGAGCCUGCAGCUGAAGGAGCUGUCCUGUGCAGGCAGGGGGUCAUGCAUGGAGAGCGCAUCAUUGCUGAGGAGGGAUGCUGGUCAGGCUAAUGCCUCCUCCUGCCUCUGGCCAUCGGCACUGGGUGGAGCGGACAUCAGAUAGAGACGGCCUUCCUUCCUGCUGAGCUUCGCCACACUCUGUGUAGGACUGCAGUCCUCUUGACGACGUAUGCGUUGGUUUCACUGGCUGCACUUUCUCUAUGGCCUGAGAUGGCAGCGCACUAAAGGCAAAUUUGAGCUCAGAUCAUCCGGAGCAUCCUGCCACGGACCGAGCGAUCAGGAGUGCACUCCAAAAUUUUGGGCGAGGGGAAUAAAAUGUGCACACAAUACAAACCCACGGCGGAUCAAACACAGUUGUCACAGUUUGCUGAGAGCUCCGGGUUUCUGGCCUCACACUCUGUGUUUGGGAAGAAAUUUGGACGUCUUUCUCUAAUAUUCUUGGUGUUUAUAUCGUGUUUCUGAAAAAAAAAUAAAGAUCUGAAAACUG
Fundulus heteroclitus (mummichog) is the source of this 1240-nucleotide long non-coding RNA. RefSeq lists it as uncharacterized. The transcript is spliced from 6 exons. NCBI's taxonomy places the organism in Eukaryota, Metazoa, Chordata, Actinopteri, Cyprinodontiformes, Fundulidae. The record is from RefSeq and is a predicted model, not a curated record.